RNAcentral lists this long non-coding RNA (246 nucleotides) under Spirodela polyrhiza (greater duckweed). RNAcentral describes it as "long non-coding RNA (SPOL_LNC001101)". The record is from RNAcentral. Lineage: Eukaryota; Viridiplantae; Streptophyta; Magnoliopsida; Alismatales; Araceae.
GAUGUCCGCCACCAUCAAGAAAUGAUAACAAUGUAUUCAAAGAUGUCCUACCACAAUAAAAAAUUGACGAUGGUGUAUUCAUAGAAGUCUACCACCAUCAAGAAAUGAUGAUGUAGUGACUCUACAAGGAAUUUGCCAUUUGCUUAUGACAAAAAAACCUCAUGAUUUUAGGUACUACAGACAAGAAGAAGAACACCAAGUGACACUACCUACAAUGUAGAGUCAUUGUUGCCACCAAGGUUGGUU